CGAACGGGUGAGUAAUGCGUGACCAACCUGCCCCAUGCUCCAGAAUAGCUCUUGGAAACGGGUGGUAAUGCUGGAUGCUCCAACUUGACGCAUGUCUUGUUGGGAAAGUGUUUAGUGGCAUGGGAUGGGGUCGCGUCCUAUCAGCUUGUAGGCGGGGUAAUGGCCCACCUAGGCUUCGACGGGUAGCCGGCCUGAGAGGGCGGAAGGCCACAUUGGGACUGAGAUACGGCCCAGACUCCUACGGGAGGCAGCAGUA
This 256-nucleotide ribosomal RNA is filed under the name uncultured Gardnerella sp. RNAcentral describes it as "partial 16S ribosomal RNA". It matches the Rfam family "Bacterial small subunit ribosomal RNA", at positions 99 to 355 of the family's 1533-position model. The record is from RNAcentral. Lineage: Bacteria; Bacillati; Actinomycetota; Actinomycetes; Bifidobacteriales; Bifidobacteriaceae.